GUGGGGAAUCUUCCGCAAUGGACGAAAGUCUGACGGAGCAACGCCGCGUGAACGAUGACGGCCUUCGGGUUGUAAAGUUCUGUUAUACGGGACGAAUGGCGUAGCGGUCAAUACCCGUUACGAGUGACGGUACCGUAAGAGAAAGCCACGGCUAACUACGUGCCAGCAGCCGCGGUAAUACGUAGGUGGCAAGCGUUGUCCGGAAUUAUUGGGCGUAAAGGGCGCGCAGGCGGCGUCGUAAGUCGGUCUUAAAAGUGCGGGGCUUAACCCCGUGAGGGGACCGAAACUGCGAUGCUAGAGUAUCGGAGAGGAAAGCGGAAUUCCUAGUGUAGCGGUGAAAUGCGUAGAUAUUAGGAGGAACACCAGUGGCGAAAGCGGCUUUCUGGACGACAACUGACGCUGAGGCGCGAAAGCCAGGGGAGCAAACGGGAUUAGAUACCCUGGUAGUCC
Molecule: ribosomal RNA, 450 nt
Filed under: uncultured bacterium
Lineage: Bacteria
Description: partial 16S ribosomal RNA
Rfam family: Bacterial small subunit ribosomal RNA
Source: RNAcentral